RNAcentral lists this ribosomal RNA (88 nucleotides) under Staphylococcus aureus. RNAcentral's name for it is "partial 16S ribosomal RNA". It matches the Rfam family "Bacterial small subunit ribosomal RNA", at positions 1 to 85 of the family's 1533-position model. Lineage: Bacteria; Bacillati; Bacillota; Bacilli; Caryophanales; Staphylococcaceae. The record is from RNAcentral.
UUUAUGGAGAGUUUGAUCCUAGCUCAGGAUGAACGCUGGCGGCGUGCCUAAUACAUGCAAGUCGAGCGAACGGACGAGAAGCUUGCUU